This 77-nucleotide small RNA is filed under the name Xanthomonas codiaei. Its description in RNAcentral is "sX9 sRNA". It matches the Rfam family "Xanthomonas sRNA sX9". The record is from RNAcentral. Lineage: Bacteria; Pseudomonadati; Pseudomonadota; Gammaproteobacteria; Lysobacterales; Lysobacteraceae.
AUGUACCCCUUCGUACAUUCCGGUUGCUCCGCGCCGUCCGCGCCCACCCGACGACUGCUCGCCACGCUCUGCGAGCC